UUAAUGAUUUACUAAAAUUAUGAGGUAUAAAAUACAUACAUUUCGUACAUUUUGCAUUGAUAAUGUUCAUUUGCAUUGAUAAAGUUCAUUUGCAUUGAGACGCUUAAAUUACAUUCACAAAAUUCUUCCCCAUUGACAAACAACACUAUUGCAUUCAUCAAGGUGGUAAUAUUUCUAUUGAUUAUAUACAUUUCAUUGAAUAAAUGAAGUUCAUCUGCAAUGAUAAUGUUCAUUCACAUUGAAAUUUAGAUAUUUUACAUUUUUACAUUAAACUUAAGUUCAUUUGCAUUUAAAUUUG
This 298-nucleotide long non-coding RNA is filed under the name Mytilus galloprovincialis (Mediterranean mussel). The record is from RNAcentral. Lineage: Eukaryota; Metazoa; Mollusca; Bivalvia; Mytilida; Mytilidae.